This is a non-coding RNA of Oryza sativa Japonica Group (Japanese rice), 2410 nucleotides long. NCBI's taxonomy places the organism in Eukaryota, Viridiplantae, Streptophyta, Magnoliopsida, Poales, Poaceae. The record is from RefSeq and is a predicted model, not a curated record.
GAUGUGAUGCCACAUGGUGUUGAUGGGAAGAAUAUGGGUGAUUAGUCGCUGACUGGACGGACAGACCGCUUUGUCAACAACAAAUCAACCAAAAGCUUCACAUGGCUUUGAAUCGAAGCGGACCAUGGCGUAGGGAGAGAAAACAAAGAACUUAAACCCGCGCGGCCUCAUGUAUCAUGCAUGAUUGUUACAAAAAUGAUCUAAAAACUACUAAAAACAAUGACAUAUGGUGUCAAGAGCAACCACCAUCAUGUAAAAAGACGACAGCUACUUCUAAGAGGAGUUGCAAACGUAUGUUUUGGCAAGGAGCUAGGAUUGAUGGAAAAAAAAAUCAAUCAAUCAAUCAAACAAGCUGAAGAUUCAGGUUUGCAUACCAGAUUGCUUGCAAUUUCAAAAUCAAGUCUGAACAGCUCUGCAAGAUGGUAAUCCUAUAUACCUAUACAAGUGAUCCCCACUAACUGCAGUUAUUACCAAUUCUCUGCACUGUGGUUGAUCCACGUCAUCCAAAAAGAUAGCAGCCGUUGGAUGAAAUCUCAAUGGUAUGAUAUCAAUGCAUAUGUUAUCCUGGUGAGAACACCCAAGUAUUACACACGAAAAGCCAAGCUGUUCGCUCCCCUUCCCCACGUAGAUGCGGCGCCGCAUGGUUCCCCUUCCCCUGCGCUGCUUCCCCUCCACCCGCUCAACUCCCUCCCUCCCUCCCUCACUCCCUCCCCGUGCGUCGGUUCCCUUACCUGGCCAGCAGUACACCAGGGAGCUCCUCACUCCCAUAGGCUGUGGCUCCCUGGUGAGUAUUUUACUGCUAAUCCGUUUUUUAAUUCCUGUAAUUGACGGUUAAGGUGAGAGGCCAAACUUCUUGGAUUUCUUUUAAGGUGUGCAUCUGCCCUCAACCCUUCCCUCUCCUCUUUUGUACCACCGAUCAUGUCCUUCUUUGCAGGUUUGCAGAUAUAUAUAUCAUGAUGUUCAAUUUUAUGGAAUGGCGUUGGUUGGAAAUAUUUUCAGAUGUCCCUGUCAUAUGUUAAACGGAAUGGCUGAAUGAUGAUCAUAUUAUAAGGAUGGAUCUUUCUAUAUCCUUCAACCCUGUUGUUGUCAUCAAAUGGUGGCUUUUUCAUGUUAAGAGCGAAUUCAAGGUGGACUGGUGUUUUUUCAUAAUUCGUAAGAGCUGGUAAUUAUCACCUCAAAUUUGUUCAUUUUUAUGUUGGUUUCUUAAUCGUAUUGAAAUAGUUAAAUUUUACUUAUACCUUCACACUAUCAUCUGAGUCACUUUGUCUCAUGUGACCAUGACCUUUGAUUAUAGAAGGUCACCAACGGUCAAUGGUGGCCUGAUUGAGUUUGCAGUUUUAUGUAUAUGUAUAUAUCACCAACAAAAAUGUCGUUACAAUGAAACAGAUGGAUGGUUGGUUCAGUAUAUUUCUUUUUUUUUAACAAAGAAUUAAUAGUUCAGUUUUACCCGAGUGUCAGAUUUAUUACUCAAUACAAUUCUUAUAAAAAAAAAUCCUUUAGUUAAUUGUCUUGCGCACUGCACAUACUACCAACAUUUGGCAAUUUAUAUUGGUAUUUCCUUUGUAUUCACACCACAAUAAUUCGUGUAGUUGCUACUGUCUAAUUUGUUAUACUCCGAUGCAGAGUUCUUUUAUUACUUUCAGUUCAGUCUAGGACCAAUAAUAAGUUCAGAACUUCAUAUUACUGACUUGGUCUUUUCUACAAUGAAAUGCACACUAUGGGAUAUUUUGAUUAUCAGAUUAUGGACAUAAUUUUUUAUCUAAUGUUAUAUUUUAUUUUCCUAUUACUAUUUACUAGAAUAUGCAAGGGAAAGAGGAAUCAAUAAUUAAAAUAUUGAUAUGGCAACUUGCUUCUUGCUGGUGAAUAAACACUUGAACAAUUCUAGCAGCUAACUUAGGUGCGGUCAAUCACAGAAUCUUUGUUAUUGAUCCUAUAGUUUCUUGCAAAUAUUCCUAAUUGAUUGUGUUGUAAGCCUAAAGAUUGUAUUUACUUUUUAUUUAAUUCAGUAUGCCUUUCAUGCUAUACUGCGCAAAUUGUGUUGUAAGCCUAAAAUUCUAUUCACUUUUUUUUUAAUUCAGUAUGCCUUUCAUGCUAUACUGUGCACCACUAAAAAGCACGUCAUAGUUUAGAUUUUAAUAGUACCGUGACGAGCAGAACUGUUGCACGUUGCAUUCGUUUUGCAUAGCAACAAAACAAGCAUGUGGUUUCUGUUAGUCUAUUGAUUUAUUUUUUUUGUCUUUUGUCUCUGCUAAUGUUUUAUUUGUUGCUCUCAUGUCUCAAAAUAGAUGUCCUCUUAUAGUAGGUUCGAUCAAGUGAUGCUCACGCAACUAAUAUUUUUAUUUCCUAAUUCUCUAUAUCUGUACAAUUUCACUCUUUUUCGAUAUGAUUUAAAUUAUGUUCUCCAGUUAAA